This 380-nucleotide ribosomal RNA is filed under the name uncultured archaeon. Its description in RNAcentral is "bacterial SSU rRNA". It matches the Rfam family "Archaeal small subunit ribosomal RNA", at positions 471 to 851 of the family's 1478-position model. The record is from RNAcentral.
UAAUACCAGCUCCUCAAGUGGUGGGGAUGAUUAUUUGGCCUAAAGCGUCCGUAGCUUGCUCGGUAAGUCCUCCGUUAAAUCCACCGAUCUAAUCGUUGGGCCGCGGGGGAUACUGCAGAGCUUGGGGGCGGAAGAAGUCGACGGUACUCUUGGGGUAGGGGUGAAAUCCAGUAAUCCCAAGAGGACCACCAGUGGCGAAGGCGGUCGACUAGGACGCGCCCGACAGUGAGGGACGAAAGCUGGGGGAGCGAUUCGGAUUAGAUACCCGAGUAGUCCCAGCCGUAAACGAUGCAGGCUAGGUGUUAGCAUGACUACGAGUCAUGCUAGUGCCGCAAGGAAGCCGUUAAGCCUGCCGCCUGGGAAGUACGGCCGCAAGACUG